GGCGGGUGGUCGUGAGAAUUCUUGAGGGGAAGGAAGGCGGGGUUGGCGCUGCCCCUGCCCGCUCCGCUUAUAACAACCUCUCUAAGUAACAUCCCCAUGUGAAAUGCUCACCUAUUAAUAUUUGGAGAUAACACUCAGAACAUAACUAUUGAAUAUUAAGAAGAGCUGGGGUGUAUUGAAAUGGCAUUUCUGUGCACUCUGGCUUCCGUCACAGUGUUCCCGUUGCACCAGAAGCAGUUUCGUCAUGCUAGCCACAUGACCCAGAAAGCUGUCUGUGGACAAAUGCCAGCUCCCUUGGCCUGAAGCGAGAUGAGCACCGCAACCCCACAGUUGCCUUUGACUGGAUUUAACUGUCCAGGGAUCCUUUACCUUUACUUAUUAAAACUAAUAUUGAAUCUAAUAACAGUUUACAUGCCAGCUCAGUAAUCAUGAAACAUAAAGGAAAAAGCUAGUACACACCAAAAGGGUAGUUUUGCAUUGACAUCACAGGGUCAUCAGGUGGAGCUCUUGCGCCACCUGCUGGACAAUGGUAGGAUAAAACUCUUGGGAAGUCGGCAGCUCCCAUUUCAGUUUUGUGGAUUACCCAAGCCUGAACAGCCAUCGAGGUCACACACAUGCAUUAAAGGAAACAACCUAGCUGCCUACUUCCCUAAGUCUAAUUUACUAGAAUUUAAGAAGAGCUGCUGCCAACUGGGCUGUAAAAACAUCAUGUUGCAGUCCAUACUAAGGUGUGGACCCUAUGUGGUCAAUGUAAAACUAUCCUUCAGGUACCCAUUGCACAUUUCCCCAUUGACAUCAUAGUUUCAUUUUGUUGGGAUAUACAAAAGCGUUCCCAAUUAUGGUAGGUCUUAACUGCAACAAUAUGCACCAUUACUGUGGGAGGGCCUGCUGCUUAUGAUUAGGUGAAAACAUCCAUUUUAUAGUGCCUUAUAAAU
Long non-coding RNA from Podarcis raffonei (Aeolian wall lizard), 935 nucleotides. RefSeq lists it as uncharacterized. The record is from RefSeq and is a predicted model, not a curated record. Lineage: Eukaryota; Metazoa; Chordata; Lepidosauria; Squamata; Lacertidae. The transcript is spliced from 3 exons.